This 499-nucleotide ribosomal RNA is filed under the name uncultured bacterium. RNAcentral describes it as "bacterial SSU rRNA". It matches the Rfam family "Bacterial small subunit ribosomal RNA", at positions 55 to 527 of the family's 1533-position model. The record is from RNAcentral.
AUGCAGUCGUACGAGAACACCCUAGCUUGCUAGGGUAAGUAAAGUGGCGCACGGGUGAGUAACGCGUGGGUAAUCUACCUUCGAAUUGGGGAUAACGUUGCGAAAGCGACGCUAAUACCGAAUAACAUCCAUUAAUCUUCGGGUUUUUGGAUCAAGGGUGGCCUCUACAUGUAAGCUACUGUUUGAAGAUGAGCCCGCGUACCAUUAGCUUGUUGGUGGGGUAAUGGCCUACCAAGGCAGCGAUGGUUAGCUGGUCUGAGAGGAUGAUCAGCCACACUGGAACUGACACACGGUCCAGACUCCUACGGGAGGCAGCAGUGAGGAAUUUUGCGCAAUGGGGGAAACCCUGACGCAGCAACGCCGCGUGAGUGAUGAAGGCUUUCGGGUCGUAAAGCUCUGUCAAGUGGGAAGAACCUGCAGUAUGCUAAUAUCAUAUUGCACUGACGGUACCACUGAAGGAAGCACCGGCUAACUCCGUGCCAGCAGCCGCGGUAAUACG